CCGAGAAGCGUUGCAAGUUUGAUUGUUGUAUCUCAUAUGUGUCAGUGGGUGGCAGAGGAGAGAGAGGUUAUGUCUACACUCACACACCUCAACGAUUAAUAAUCUAAAAUUCCCUUACAAA
Molecule: small nucleolar RNA, 121 nt
Filed under: Mus pahari (shrew mouse)
Lineage: Eukaryota; Metazoa; Chordata; Mammalia; Rodentia; Muridae
Description: snoRNA (MGP_PahariEiJ_G0034365.1)
Rfam family: Small nucleolar RNA SNORA17
About the family: snoRNA ACA 17 belongs to the H/ACA family of snoRNAs and is predicted to guide pseudouridylation of the 28S rRNA at positions U4659 and U4598. It shares the same host gene together with ACA43.
Source: RNAcentral